This 493-nucleotide ribosomal RNA is filed under the name uncultured bacterium. RNAcentral describes it as "bacterial SSU rRNA". It matches the Rfam family "Bacterial small subunit ribosomal RNA", at positions 28 to 480 of the family's 1533-position model. The record is from RNAcentral.
GACGAACGCUGGCGGCGUGCCUAAUACAUGCAAGUCGAACGCACUCUCGUUUAGAUUGAAGGAGCUUGCUCCUGAUUGAUAAACAUUUGAGUGAGUGGCGGACGGGUGAGUAACACGUGGGUAACCUGCCCUAAAGUGGGGGAUAACAUUUGGAAACAGAUGCUAAUACCGCAUAAAACCUAACACCGCAUGGUGUAGGGUUGAAAGAUGGUUUCGGCUAUCACUUUAGGAUGGACCCGCGGUGCAUUAGUUAGUUGGUGAGGUAAAGGCUCACCAAGACCGUGAUGCAUAGCCGACCUGAGAGGGUAAAUCGGCCACACUGGGACUGAGACACGGCCCAGACUCCUACGGGAGGCAGCAGUAGGGAAUCUUCCACAAUGGACGAAAGUCUGAUGGAGCAACGCCGCGUGAGUGAAGAAGGUUUCGGAUCGUAAAACUCUGUUGUUGGAGAAGAAUGUAUCUGAUAGUAACUGAUCAGGUAGUGACGGUAUCC